AAAGUCGCCAAAAAAAUAUGUGUCGGCUAAACAUGCAAAAACUCAAUAAUCCAACUCACGCUCGUGGGUACGAUACUGUUCAAACUCCAUUACAUUUUUUCAGUGGAAUUUGGAUUCGAUCAUUGACGGAGUUUCUUCAAAUGAAAUGCUAGGAUCAUUAAGUAUUGCAUACACGAUACAACAAUAUGUAAUACCUCCUAUCGCUUUGGAACAUAAAAUAAAAUAAAAUU
Molecule: non-coding RNA, 230 nt
Organism: Schizosaccharomyces pombe (fission yeast)
Lineage: Eukaryota; Fungi; Ascomycota; Schizosaccharomycetes; Schizosaccharomycetales; Schizosaccharomycetaceae
Source: the annotation of a GenBank genome assembly